GGGCACGCACGUGCCCCGCCCCCUCGACGCGUCACGCCGUCCGGGCUGUGGGUACCGCCCUAACAGCCACUCUGGCCGCGGAGAGGCGGGCCUAAGGAGUGACGUACGCUCGGGGUGAGGCUCCGCCCGCUCUGUGGAGGCUCUCAAGCGGGGUAUUUGGCCACAGCGACAUCAGAGACAAGAAGAGACACAGAUGAGAGACAAGCACAUGAAAGAUGCUUACCAUCCUUCGCCAUGGCAAAAAGUGAAAUUAAAAAGUCGAGGGGACAUUACUGUGCAUCUGAUGGAGACAUGAGGACCCGUAGGGCUUGCUGGCCAGCCAGUCUAGCCCAGUCAGUAAGCUCCAGGUUCCAUUGUGCCUGUGGUCUUCAAGAGCUCUGCACACCCACAGACAUAAAAAUAAAGUUCAGGUGAAAUAAAUGAGAGUGUGUACCAUAGGUCACUACCUGACACUUUUAGAGACGAGGAAACAGGGUUAGUGCCUGUAGCUUGCCUGAGUACAGAGCUGAUGAGACAGGCCUGGAUCCAAGCUGAGGAUUUCCUAGCUCCAAAGGCCAUGAACUCACUCACCUAAAACAGUUCUGGCUGGUACCUUUGGUGCAAGGCAAAUGACUUAAGGGUUCAGUUCACUGAUUGCAGAUUGUAAUUGUUGACUUCCACCUUCAGUAAAGAUUUCACUGUCUG
Long non-coding RNA from Mus musculus (house mouse), 684 nucleotides. RefSeq annotates it as RIKEN cDNA 1700022H01 gene. The transcript is spliced from 2 exons. The record is from RefSeq and is marked validated. Lineage: Eukaryota; Metazoa; Chordata; Mammalia; Rodentia; Muridae.